UACGGAAGGUCCUAGCGUUGUUCGGAUUUAUUGGGCGUAAAGGGCGUGUAGGCGGCUUAGCAAGUUGGAUGUGAAAUUUCGGAGCUCAACUCCGAAGCUGCAUUCAAAACUGCUUUGCUUGAGGAUAGGCGGAGAAAACGGAAUUCCACGUGUAGCGGUGAAAUGCGUAGAUAUGUGGAAGAACACCGGUGGCGAAGGCGGUUUUCUAGCUUAUUCCUGACGCUGAGGCGCGAAAGCAAGGGGAGCAAACAGG
Molecule: ribosomal RNA, 253 nt
Filed under: uncultured bacterium
Lineage: Bacteria
Description: partial 16S ribosomal RNA
Rfam family: Bacterial small subunit ribosomal RNA
Source: RNAcentral